This 133-nucleotide small nucleolar RNA is filed under the name Canis lupus familiaris (dog). RNAcentral also lists the same sequence under 3 other names. Lineage: Eukaryota; Metazoa; Chordata; Mammalia; Carnivora; Canidae. The record is from RNAcentral.
UAGGCCCUGAAUCAAGACCAGUGGUUUGCUGUAGCUGUUGGUUUCAAACAGGAGCCAAGAGUAAUAUGUUUCUGUGGUCUGUUAGCCAUUCAGCACCCCAAUGGGAAUGGCUCUUUCAAUUAGAAGAACAUAG